AUGCUGAAGGUGAGUUUUUGGUCCCAGCUGUGCUCGUGUGAUUGUAUUUGGCAGGGUCCCCCAGGUCCCCCCGGCCCUCCCGGCCCCCCUGGACCCCAGGGUGUUAAUGGGAUCCAAGGCCCUCAGGACUAUGUUGGACCGCGGCAGCCACUUCAGGAUUCCACAGACAUAGAUGAGGGAUGUGAAGGGGGCUGCUCCAAGGGGUUGCCAGGGGUACCAGGCAUGGCUGGGGCCAAGGGUGAGAAAGGAGACCAAGGCAAGCCUGGUGCAACCCUUUUGGACAGCUGUGACAGGUGUUUAGAGAGGCUGCAAAAGGAACCAGCCACGCAAGCAGUGGGAGAUCGGUCCUACACAGGAACACCUGGACAUCCGGGGGUGCCCGGAUCACCUGGAAUCAAAGGCGAUCCUGGUGCACCAGGAGAAAGAGGUCCAGCUGGAACUCCAGGAUUCAUGGGUCCUCCUGGUUUCCCGGGUCCUCAGGGUCCAUCCGGACCAGCUGUGAGUUGUAACUCAUUUCUUUCAAACACUGAUUUUCACAUGACCGGAUGUUUAAACCACACGUUGUGA
This 567-nucleotide long non-coding RNA is filed under the name Nothobranchius furzeri (turquoise killifish). RNAcentral describes it as "lncRNA (ENSNFUG00015006328.1)". Lineage: Eukaryota; Metazoa; Chordata; Actinopteri; Cyprinodontiformes; Nothobranchiidae. The record is from RNAcentral.